GGAUGUGAGGGCAAUCUGGCUGCAACGUUUGUCACCCCACUGACAGCCAGGGUUGACUCAGCUGAUGUGGUCGGCUAGGCAGGUAUCUCCUUCCUCCUUCACCGCUCUACAUGCACCAUUCCGAAAGCUAUGUGCUGGGUGGAAGAGGACAACUUCCCCCCACAGAGGAGGACCAUUUCCUCAGUCGAGGGUAUACGAGUAGCUGCACUGCCUGCUAGAACCUCCAACCAAGCUCUCAAGAAGAAAGCAGUGAUGGGAAAGAAAGAACAUCUGUUCUCACAUUUGUGCAAUUAUCCUC
Unclassified non-coding RNA from Fukomys damarensis (Damara mole-rat), 298 nucleotides. Its record names the gene 7SK. It matches the Rfam family "7SK RNA". Rfam says of the family: 7SK was discovered as an abundant small nuclear RNA in the mid-70s but a possible function has only recently been suggested. Two independent studies have found that 7SK RNA binds the CDK9/cyclin T complex (known as elongation factor P-TEFb). Lineage: Eukaryota; Metazoa; Chordata; Mammalia; Rodentia; Bathyergidae. The record is from Ensembl.